Molecule: ribosomal RNA, 253 nt
Filed under: uncultured bacterium
Lineage: Bacteria
Description: partial 16S ribosomal RNA
Rfam family: Bacterial small subunit ribosomal RNA
Source: RNAcentral
UACGUAGGUGGCAAGCGUUGUCCGGAAUUAUUGGGCGUAAAGCGCGCGCAGGUGGUUUCUUAAGUCUGAUGUGAAAGCCCACGGCUCAACCGUGGAGGGUCAUUGGAAACUGGGGAACUUGAGUGCAGGAGAGAAAAGUGGAAUUCCACGUGUAGCGGUGAAAUGCGUGGAGAUGUGGAGGAACACCAGUGGCGAAGGCGACUUUUUGGCCUGUAACUGACGCUGAGGCGCGAAAGCGUGGGGAGCAAACAGG